CAAUACCUUGCAAGACUCAGAUAGAUAUAGCAGCUUAACUCCAUCGCCUCUUCGGCAAGCGAUCUGACAGAGCCAACAGAAGACAAGGAUCUCUGUGAUCAUGGCAACUCUACAAGCCCAAAACCUCUUCUUUUCAUCAUCCUCUUCCUCCCCUUCGGGUCACCGGAAACUACGUGCCAGUCUCCAUGUUCCUGCCAGUCUGAGAACCAAGGGCGUCUCUCUUCCGAAGCUAAAUUUGGGAGGGCUGGGCUGUUGUUGGUAUGCAUCAUAAACCUUAUCUACUCAAAAUUACCUAUAUGAUUCUGAAUACAAAUAACAAUACAUUAUCAGGUGACACAUUUCCUGUUGGAUGUGCUUUCGAUGAAUGCAAUGUUCACCACAAGGUAUUGGCCUAAACUAAGCUACUCAAGUAUUUUUCUUUGAUUGGCUAAAAGAAGCAAUUCAACUCUUCUUUUCUGAAAAUUAUAUUGACUCCAACAGUAUUUUCCAGAAAACCCUGAUCACCUUAAUCCUAAAUACAAUACCAUGCUCAGAGUUUAUUCAGAGGGGUGUGGACUUAACAUUGUACUGAUGUCAUGGGGGGUUGAUGAUUAUAUGUACUUGGUAUGUUCUUGAGAAUACAUGCCAUUCUUUUAUGGAUCACGCAAAUUAAGAAGAAAAGUGUCUUAUGGUCUUAAAUUAAUUGAUUCAUCAAUUUCAGAUUGCUAAGGAGAACAAAACUUCUUUGCCCUUGGCUGGUUUGUUUAUAAUCCGUUACCAUUCGUUUUACUGUAAGUUUAUGAACUUUUGACUUGGUGUUUCACAAUCUGAUUCUUCGGCUCGCUUAUAUCGUGCCAAAUUCCAAAUUAUUUUCUCAGCUCUGCACAAGCAUGGUGCCUAUCAGUACCUCAUGAACAAGGAGGAUAAAGAGAAUCUCAAGUGGCUUCGUGUGUUCAAAGUAAGAUUUAAGAUUUGUCAUCCUCAAGCAAUCAAUUGUACUAAUUCUCAUUCAUCUUGAUUGCUCAUCAAGUUUCUGCAGCUGUAGAUGCUUAUAGUGUCUCCACUCUGUUGCAGCAAAUAUGACCUUUAUAGCAAGAGCAAGGUGAGAAUAGAUGUGGAGAAGGUGAAGCCAUACUACGUUUCACUCAUCGAAAAGGUUUGCAUGCCCAUCUAGCUUUCUUAGACCUCAACUUAUCCUUUUAUCUCACCAUACCAAGUCAACCCAAUGUUUGUUGCAGUACUUCCCUGCCAUGCUGAAAUGGUGAGGUUUCUUGAUGGUGAUUCAUUUCCUGUGGUCUUCAUGGAGCAGCGAGCUUGAUAACCUAUUCCUUUAAGCAUUUGAUCGAUCAUACGAGAAGUUGUCUUGUGUUUUUUUAUUCAUGACACAGGUUGGCAGCUUGAUAUGUAAAACUUACUGAUGCAGUGCAUAAUAUACUGUCAAUAACUGUGAUUAUGUAAAACUUACUGUCAAUUCAUUCGUUCAUUAAUUUCUAUCUCAAAUUAAAUAUAUUUUUUAAUUAUUUUUUACAUUAAUCUCAAUUUCAAGCAUAGUCACAAAAUACAAGAAGUCUAGAUUAAUUAUAUCAUUUGAUCCUUUUUGUUGCCUUGAUGUCAUUGACCGUGGAGUCGACACAGCUUGGUUCGGUCCCGAAUAUAUAAGAUCCUCCUAGGGGCUCACGAGGGUUCACGAGAGGAGGAUGGUGCGGGGAGCAGACCUGACUAACAGCGAUCCCGAGGCGUUGCUUGUUUCCUAGAGGCAGAUAUGGUGUCAUCCUGAGGUGCGCCUUAGUCUCACUGAGGUCCCUGCACAAGUAGUCAACUUCAAGGGGAUGUUCUUGACUCGACCCCUCCGAUAGUAAAGUUAGUUGGGAGAUGAAAAAUGAUAGAACUCUCUUCCCUUUUAGGCUUUUGGGGAGUUGGCUUUUAUACUUAAGCGGCCGAUGGAGUGAGGCCGACGAUCAGUCAGGGUACCCCUUACGUCCUCCAGGGGCUUAUUUAUGUUGAUGGUUAGUGGGCACACUUCUUUGUUGAUGGCUGACCUUCAUAAAAUCAUGGUUGAUUGGGGGCAACAAGUCGCUUGCGAUAGAUGACCCAAAAAGGGAAAAAGGAGAGAUGGGCCUUGUUGUCGGGGAUUAAUGUACCGUGCGAUUGGCUCGUGUGGCCCUCCUGAAGAUCUUGAUGGGCCGGGGUCAAUGGAUCAUGCUCCUGUCAACAACAACAACGGAGGGGCGUGGAUUCUUCUGCCUAUAUCAUCGCCAAGGUGAUAAUUCCUGAUUGGAUGAGCCGAGAUAUUGUAAUGCUUACGUCGUUACUUUCUCUAUCAAUUUACUAUUAAAUACUCUCAUUUUUAAUUUAUUAUAAAAUAUAUCUAAAUUCUGAGGGGCAUUUAAAUCAUUUUUAGAAUAUGAUAUUUUAUUUAUUACUUUUUCCUCCUCUCAAUGUGUUUCUCUCCCACUAAAUUAUAAAAAAUAAUAUUAUUAUUAGCAUAUUAUAUAUUUUUUAACAUAUGAUUCAAUCUGUAUACUCAUUGGUUCAACCAAUGACCAAAUGAAGACCUGACCGAGCCAAUAUCCGACAAAUAAUUCAGUAUGUAUCGGACUGAAUCACCCAUAAAAACUGCCAGGGUGACAUAAUUAAUCCACCUAAUAAUUCAUUACCGAUAUGGCGACAAAGUCUACCAUUCCAACUAUUUGAAAGUCCAACGCACUGACAUUGACGCCUUCUUCCAUUCUACUGAUUCAAAUAGCCUUACUUGGUCAACUAUUCAACCACCCACCACAACUAUAUAUACAGACCACAUAACACCCCUCCUCUUCAUCUCAUUACAAUACUUUGCAAGACUCAGAUAGAUAUAGCAGCUUAACUCCAUCGCCUCUUCGGCAAGCGAUCUGACAGAGCCGACGGAAGACAAGGAUCUCCGUGAUCAUGGCAACUCUACAAGCCCAAAACCUCUUCUUUUCAUCAUCCUCUUCCUCCCCUUCGGGUCACCGGAAACUUCGUGCCAGUCUCCAUGUUCCUGCCAAUCUGAGAACCAAGGGCGUCUCUCUUNN
This 3029-nucleotide long non-coding RNA is filed under the name Musa acuminata (dwarf banana). Its description in RNAcentral is "long non-coding RNA (MACU_LNC003851)". The record is from RNAcentral. Lineage: Eukaryota; Viridiplantae; Streptophyta; Magnoliopsida; Zingiberales; Musaceae.